GAGGGGGGGUAAGAUAGAGGGAGGGGGGUUUAGGAGGUAAAGAAAGAUGAAAACAGAGGAGAGAUGCAAUGCAAAACAAACUAUAAUUGGGUUAAGUUAAACGUUGCCAUUGGACACCAGAUAAUGAAAAUAAUAAAAACUCAAAUCAGCAGGGUGGGAAUAGGGGAAAAAAGAAUACAAAGGGGGGUAGUAAAUCAUAAAAUAAAAAUAACUAAACAGAUACUGUAACAGAUGAGAAAAAAUACUAAUGUUCUUUUCCAUGUGUGGAGAGGUAGGCUGUAGCUAAGUGGGAUGGUGGGAGGGUUAGAGUUAGGGUCAGGGUCAGGGUGAGGGUGAGGGUGAGGGUUAGGGUUAGAGUUAGGGUCAGGGUUAGGGUUAGGGUGAGGGUGAGGGUUAGGGUUAGGGUCAGGGUGAGGGUUAGAGUUAGGGUGAGGUUGGGAGGGUUAGAUUGAGUAGAAGGCACUCGGAGAGUGGAUGGCACGGGCACAAGCAAAUAUGUUAACAAAAUAACUUUGGCUUAAAAAUAAUAAUAAUAAAAUAAAAUAAACCAAUAAAUGAUACUAAAUAGUUGGGGUGGGGGGAAGAGCUGUAACAUAAACAACAAAGGUUAAGGUUAGGAAGGGGGUGAAAGAGGUUAUGUUUAGGUGAGAUGAAGGGGGUUAUGUUAAGGAAAGGAUAUAGGGGAGGGUUAGGGUUAGGAAAGGGGAUGGAGAGGUUAUGGUCAGGGAAAUAAAUAGGAGACAAACCCAACACCAACCUCCUCUUAAUACAAUCUCCCCUUCUAGGCGACAGGGACAAGUGUGUAUGUCUCGCCUAAGAAGGUCGCGGCCCGGAAGAGACGGCGUCGGGACAAAGGUCAAAGACCCCACAGAGCUGUGAAAAGGUUAGGGUCAGAUGGCUCUGCAUUUGCUGCAUUGGAUGGCAUAAACAACGUUGGUAGAAAGCAGCGAGAAGGUCUGCCAGAUGGGGGCGCCAGAUUGUAAAUUGGAGAUAUACUUUAGAGAGGUUGGCCCGGUCAGAUGGGAAGAGAGCGGCUACUUCCUGCUUGAUGGUACGGAGAAAGCGUCUGGAGUAACCGCGGGGUCUAAGGGCCUCAAAGCGGGUCCUUGUAGCCUCCUCUACAUGAAUAGAAGACUAUGGUGUCCAAGAAGGGGACCUGUUGGAGAUGAAGGGUGUGUUUAAGAGUGAUGCGGGGGUGAUGUGAAUUAAGGAUGUGAAUAAAGUGAUUCAACUCAG
This is a long non-coding RNA of Gadus morhua (Atlantic cod), 1236 nucleotides long. RefSeq lists it as uncharacterized. The record is from RefSeq and is a predicted model, not a curated record. NCBI's taxonomy places the organism in Eukaryota, Metazoa, Chordata, Actinopteri, Gadiformes, Gadidae. The transcript has 4 exons.